Molecule: ribosomal RNA, 235 nt
Filed under: uncultured bacterium
Lineage: Bacteria
Description: partial 16S ribosomal RNA
Rfam family: Bacterial small subunit ribosomal RNA
Source: RNAcentral
UGAGCAAUCUGCCCUUCUCAUCGGAAUAAGCGUUGGAAACGACGUCUAAUGCCGAAUACGACCUCCUUUCGCAUGAUCGGAGGUGGAAAGCUCCGGCGGAGAAGGAUGAGCUCGCGGCCUAUCAGCUAGUUGGUGUGGGUAAUGGCCCACCAAGGCGACGACGGGUAGCCGGCCUGAGAGGGUGACCGGCCACACUGGGACUGGGACACGGCCCAGACUCCUACGGGAGGNAGCG